This 253-nucleotide ribosomal RNA is filed under the name uncultured bacterium. Its description in RNAcentral is "partial 16S ribosomal RNA". It matches the Rfam family "Bacterial small subunit ribosomal RNA", at positions 524 to 776 of the family's 1533-position model. The record is from RNAcentral.
UACGUAGGGAGCAAGCGUUGUCCGGAUUUACUGGGUGUAAAGGGUGCGUAGGCGGCUUUGCAAGUCAGAAGUGAAAUCCAUGGGCUUAACCCAUGAACUGCUUUUGAAACUGCAGAGCUUGAGUGGAGUAGAGGUAGGCGGAAUUCCCGGUGUAGCGGUGAAAUGCGUAGAGAUCGGGAGGGACACCAGUGGCGAAGGCGGCCUGCUGGGCUCUAACUGACGCUGAGGCACGAAAGCGUGGGUAGCAAACAGG